This 484-nucleotide ribosomal RNA is filed under the name uncultured bacterium. RNAcentral describes it as "partial 16S ribosomal RNA". It matches the Rfam family "Bacterial small subunit ribosomal RNA", at positions 30 to 507 of the family's 1533-position model. The record is from RNAcentral.
AUUGAACGCUGGCGGCAGGCCUAACACAUGCAAGUCGAGCGGAUGAAGGGAGCUUGCUCCUGGAUUCAGCGGCGGACGGGUGAGUAAUGCCUAGGAAUCUGCCUGGUAGUGGGGGAUAACGGCCGGAAACGGGCGCUAAUACCGCAUACGUCCUGAGGGGGAAAGUGGGGGAUCUUCGGAACUCACGCUAUCAGAUGAGCCUAGGUCGGAUUAGCUAGUUGGUGGGGUAAAGGCCUACCAAGGCGACGAUCCGUAACUGGUCUGAGAGGAUGAUCAGUCACACUGGAACUGAGACACGGUCCAGACUCCUACGGGAGGCAGCAGUGGGGAAUAUUGGACAAUGGGCGAAAGCCUGAUCCAGCCAUGCCGCGUGUGUGAAGAAGGUCUUCGGAUUGUAAAGCACUUUAAGUUGGGAGGAAGGGCAGUAAGUUAAUACCUUGCUGUUUUGACGUUACCAACAGAAUAAGCACCGGCUAACUUCGUG